RNAcentral lists this ribosomal RNA (450 nucleotides) under uncultured bacterium. RNAcentral's name for it is "partial 16S ribosomal RNA". It matches the Rfam family "Bacterial small subunit ribosomal RNA", at positions 354 to 796 of the family's 1533-position model. The record is from RNAcentral.
GUGGGGAAUAUUGGACAAUGGGCGAAAGCCUGAUCCAGCCAUGCCGCGUGUGUGAAGAAGGUCUUCGGAUUGUAAAGCACUUUAAGUUGGGAGGAAGGGCAGUAAGUUAAUACCUUGCUGUUUUGACGUUACCGACAGAAUAAGCACCGGCUAACUCUGUGCCAGCAGCCGCGGUAAUACAGAGGGUGCAAGCGUUAAUCGGAAUUACUGGGCGUAAAGCGCGCGUAGGUGGUUCGUUAAGUUGGAUGUGAAAGCCCCGGGCUCAACCUGGGAACUGCAUCCAAAACUGGCGAGCUAGAGUACGGUAGAGGGUGGUGGAAUUUCCUGUGUAGCGGUGAAAUGCGUAGAUAUAGGAAGGAACACCAGUGGCGAAGGCGACCACCUGGACUGAUACUGACACUGAGGUGCGAAAGCGUGGGGAGCAAACAGGAUUAGAUACCCUAGUAGUCC